RNAcentral lists this ribosomal RNA (386 nucleotides) under uncultured bacterium. Its description in RNAcentral is "bacterial SSU rRNA". It matches the Rfam family "Bacterial small subunit ribosomal RNA", at positions 30 to 414 of the family's 1533-position model. The record is from RNAcentral.
AUUGAACGCUGGCGGCAUGCUUUACACAUGCAAGUCGAACGGCAGCACGGGUGCUUGCACCUGGUGGCGAGUGGCGGACGGGUGAGUAAUGCAUCGGAACGUGUCCUGAAGUGGGGGAUAACGCAUCGAAAGAUGUGCUAAUACCGCAUAUUCUCUGAGGAGAAAAGUAGGGGAUCGAAAGACCUUAUGCUUUUGGAGCGGCCGAUGUCUGAUUAGCUAGUUGGUAAGGUAAUGGCUUACCAAGGCAACGAUCAGUAGUUGGUCUGAGAGGACGGCCAGCCACACUGGGACUGAGACACGGCCCAGACUCCUACGGGAGGCAGCAGUGGGGAAUUUUGGACAAUGGGCGCAAGCCUGAUCCAGCAAUGCCGCGUGAGUGAAGAAGG